AUAGGUCAUUAGUGAACGCGAUGUUAAUCAAUUCGUAUUGUAAUUUCUUAUCGAAUUCGUUUCGUUGGCAUUGUGAACACAUUAGAGAUUGGUUAUUAGCAGUAAGGAGACGUGUUCCAUUAAUUGUGGUUCAUUUGCAUUGUGAUUUUACGCAUGAAAUGACAUCAUGCCGAUUUUAUUUAAUGAAUUUAAUUCUGAUUGUGUUAAUGGUGGAAAAUAAUGGGCGUAGUUCUCAUCAACAAAUAAGAUCACAUUACGCCGCGCCUCCUCAGAUAGUGACGUACUGCUUGGACCAAGGCAUAUGCCUUCAGAGUGGAGCGUGUCCUUGGAACAGGGUCAUCAACAGUGACAUUGACUGCAUGCAGCAAAACAAUAACUUCGUCUGCUGUUACGUCACGAAGAUCAAAUAUCCGGAAAACUUGUUCGCCUAUACUGAUGACUACGUUUAAUUUGAUGCUUAGUUAUUCUUUUGACACUCGAAACUUA
Trichoplusia ni (cabbage looper) is the source of this 486-nucleotide long non-coding RNA. RefSeq lists it as uncharacterized. Lineage: Eukaryota; Metazoa; Arthropoda; Insecta; Lepidoptera; Noctuidae. The record is from RefSeq and is a predicted model, not a curated record. The transcript has 2 exons.